ACGCGUUGGGAGCUCUCCCAUAUGGUCGACCUGCAGGCGGCCGCGAAUUCACUAGUGAUUAUCGUAUUACCGCGGCUGCUGGCACGUAUUUAGCCGUCCCUUUCUGGUAUGGUACCGUCAAACUAAAAUCAUUCCCUAUUUUAGCAUUUCUUCCCAUACAACAGUGCUUUACGACCCGAAAGCCUUCAUCACACACGCGGCGUUGCUCCAUCAGGCUUGCGCCCAUUGUGGAAGAUUCCCUACUGCAGCCUCCCGUAGGAGUUUGGGCCGUGUCUCAGUCCCAAUGUGGCCGAUCAGUCUCUCAACUCGGCUAUGCAUCAUCGUCUUGGUAAGCCUUUACCCCACCAACUAACUAAUGCACCGCGGAUCCAUCUCUAGGUGACGCCGUAGCGCCUUUCAACUUGAUAUCAUGCGAUACUAAGUUUUAUACGGUAUUAGCACCUGUUUCCAAUCGAAUUCCCGCGGCCGCCAUGGCGGCCGGAGAG
Molecule: ribosomal RNA, 485 nt
Filed under: Leuconostoc citreum
Lineage: Bacteria; Bacillati; Bacillota; Bacilli; Lactobacillales; Lactobacillaceae
Description: partial 16S ribosomal RNA
Source: RNAcentral